AUAUGAAUCACUAAUAGAUCUGUUAAAAAGCAGAUUCUGAUUCAGCAAGUUUAAGAAAAGGAAUGAGAUUUCAUACUUCCAGCAAGCUCUAUAGUAGUUCUAGA
Molecule: microRNA precursor, 104 nt
Filed under: Marmota monax (woodchuck)
Lineage: Eukaryota; Metazoa; Chordata; Mammalia; Rodentia; Sciuridae
Source: RNAcentral